This 258-nucleotide ribosomal RNA is filed under the name uncultured bacterium. Its description in RNAcentral is "partial 16S ribosomal RNA". It matches the Rfam family "Bacterial small subunit ribosomal RNA", at positions 524 to 777 of the family's 1533-position model. The record is from RNAcentral.
UACGAGUGGCCCAAGCGUUAUCCGGAAUUAUUGGGCGUAAAGGAUAUGUAGGUGGUUAUAUUAGUCUGGUGUCUAACCUCUGGGCUCAACCUGGAGACAGCAUUGGAAACGGUAUGACUAGGAUGUAUUGUAGGGGGUGAGCGGAACUCAUAGUGUAGCGGUGAAAUGCGUAGAUAUCUGGAGGAACACCGGUGGCGAAGGCGGCAUCCUGGACCAACACUGACGCUGAGGAGCGAAAAGCCAGGGGAGCAAACGGGG